AACGGCCGCGGGGACGAACGGAUCGGGUCGCGUUUACCAACAUCCGCACCCGCGACUAUCUCCGAUUACCUUCACCUUGCGUAGUCUAACCUCCGACCGUCUCCCGCUAAAUCUUUUGUCCUGUUUCACCCUCUCGGAUGUUUAAAUCGAGGUAAAUUUAGGGAGGGUGACGAGAUCUUACAAUUUAGACGGCCACACUGCCGAUUUCUCUUUAGGUCUCGAGGCCCGCCGGUGACUCUCUCUCUCUCUCUCCUUCGACGCUUUCGGAAUCGGGGUUAGGGUUUUAGUGGGGUGAGUCCAUGGACUUGGGGAGCGGCAGAGGAGCAUAAGUCGGAGGUGGAGGAGGAGGCCUCCGAUCACAUCGAUGGCGAGCUCGUGCUCUCCAUCGAGAUGGUAACGAGCUUUCCAUUCUCCUUUGCUUUCGGACAUGAUUUUGUUUUACUACUUGAUCCAAAGAUUCUAUGGCAUUUCGCUUAAUCUAAUGGUGUUAGCAUAAGACUGCUGGAAACCUGAGCUGAUUCUUCUUGAUUGUGGAUGGAAGUCGUCGGUUCGUUAAUGGAAAGUGUUAUUCUUUGUCGUCUCGUUUGUUCUAUCGUCUUCUAUCUUGACAGACAUAUUCCUUCUUUGACAAUGGGACAACUACCAUAAUUGGUACAAUAACAAAGUGGAAGGAGGGAGUGAAUAUUGCAAGUGGUGUUGCUCACAAAAAAAGGAAGGGGGUAAGAGACCCUUAGCUGUAGAAAGUUUCUAUGCCUGGUUCACUGAAACCCAACAGAAAAAACUUUCAGAGGGGUUCUUUGAUGUGGUGGCUGGGAUUAUAAAAGAAAAUUUAUGAUCUGAUCCCUUGAAAUGCUUCAACAAUCUACUGCUUUUACUUGGCAUCAUGAAAAACAGGGGAAAGAAAGACAAACCAUGCAAUGGCUAGCCACAUUUGUUGGUGCAGGAAGCUGAUGAGGAAGAUUUUGAUGUAGAUGAAAAUGAUGAGAAGAAGAAGAGAACGUGAAGUCUCAGAACUCUCAUCAGCUCAUAAAUCAGACCAUUUGGUGCACAUCCAGGUCAUGUCUCUCCUCCAUGCCCCAAACUCGUCCUCUUCACACCUCGGACAUCGUGCGUACGGCCAACCGAUCCAUGAAGGGCGUCACCGAUCGAUUCAUUGAUGCAGAGACAAGCCGACCGUGACACAGAGAAAGCGCACCAGCAUCGUCACCGUGACGACCCAUGGCACAGCCUGCUGUACAUUGUACUUCGUUCGAAGUAUUCUGAGGUCUUGCUGUUCAAACGUACGGGGCUGCAAAGUCAGAGAUGACACCAUCCACCGUACCAUGUGGAUCUACCAGAAGACAUUCCAUGGAAAAAGAUGUCUUUCUAUGUACCAUUAGAAUGAACAGAAUCAUGGAAGCUACUUUGUGCUCUCUUUUUCUUGGCUUACUUAGGAUGGUCAAAUGGCCUACUCAAGACUGCUUUGUGCUCUCGUUGGGGGCAAAAGAUAGCAUUUAGAGUUCCCGAUUAGAAGGGGUUUCUGAUGCUAGACAUCAAAUGCGAGCUGAUGAAGGUAUUUGUGUG
Molecule: non-coding RNA, 1563 nt
Organism: Musa acuminata subsp. malaccensis (wild Malaysian banana)
Lineage: Eukaryota; Viridiplantae; Streptophyta; Magnoliopsida; Zingiberales; Musaceae
Source: RefSeq, a predicted model, not a curated record